Molecule: ribosomal RNA, 465 nt
Filed under: uncultured bacterium
Lineage: Bacteria
Description: partial 16S ribosomal RNA
Rfam family: Bacterial small subunit ribosomal RNA
Source: RNAcentral
GACGAACGCUGGCGGCGUGCUUAACACAUGCAAGUCGAACGGAAAGGCCCUGCUUGCAGGGUACUCGAGUGGCGAACGGGUGAGUAACACGUGGGUGAUCUGCCCUGCACUUCGGGAUAAGCCUGGGAAACUGGGUCUAAUACCUGAUAGGAGCCAUUUUUAGUGUGAUGGUUGGAAAGUUUUUUCGGUGUAGGAUGAGCUCGCGGCCUAUCAGCUUGUUGGUGGGGUAAUGGCCUACCAAGGCGGCGACGGGUAGCCGGCCUGAGAGGGUGGACGGCCACAUUGGGACUGAGAUACGGCCCAGACUCCUACGGGAGGCAGCAGUGGGGAAUAUUGCACAAGGGGCGCAAGCCUGAUGAAGAGAGGCCGCGUGGGGGAUGACGGCCUUCGGGUUGUAAAAUCCUUUCGCUAGGGACGAAGCUUUUUGUGACGGUACCUAGAUAAGAAGCACCGGCUAACUACGUG